UAGGGAAUCUUCGGCAAUGGGGGCAACCCUGACCGAGCAACGCCGCGUGAGUGAAGAAGGUUUUCGGAUCGUAAAGCUCUGUUGUAAGAGAAGAACGUGUGUGAGAGUGGAAAGUUCACACAGUGACGGUAACUUACCAGAAAGGGACGGCUAACUACGUGCCAGCAGCCGCGGUAAUACGUAGGUCCCGAGCGUUGUCCGGAUUUAUUGGGCGUAAAGCGAGCGCAGGCGGUUUAGUAAGUCUGAAGUUAAAGGCAGUGGCUUAACCAUUGUGCACUUUGGAAACUGUUAGACUUGAGUGCAGAAGGGGAGAGUGGAAUUCCAUGUGUAGCGGUGAAAUGCGUAGAUAUAUGGAGGAACACCGGUGGCGAAAGCGGCUCUCUGGUCUGUACCUGACGCUGAGGCUCGAAAGCGUGGGUAGCAAACAGG
RNAcentral lists this ribosomal RNA (429 nucleotides) under bacterium. RNAcentral's name for it is "partial 16S ribosomal RNA". It matches the Rfam family "Bacterial small subunit ribosomal RNA", at positions 355 to 776 of the family's 1533-position model. The record is from RNAcentral.